Heteronotia binoei (common prickly gecko) is the source of this 395-nucleotide long non-coding RNA. RefSeq lists it as uncharacterized. Lineage: Eukaryota; Metazoa; Chordata; Lepidosauria; Squamata; Gekkonidae. The record is from RefSeq and is a predicted model, not a curated record. The transcript has 2 exons.
AUGAUUCAUUGUAGCACCUUUCUGGUGUUCACUUAGAAACAAGCUGGCUUUGUUGGCCUAAUACUUAAGAAAAUUGCUAAGAGGAUUAUUGCAGCUUGAAGAAGCUUACACGAAACAAGGGUUCAGUAAGAACCUUCUUGGAUAUUUGGAUUAUUGGCUGCGUCUUUUGACAGACAUUAAUCAUCUGGAGUACUACACCAGGAUUCCAUGGAAUGAAUUGAAAAUUUUACCACAAAAUGAAAAAAGGACUCUUGGUGUCAAUGCUUCCUUUUUGUACUAAGGACUGAAUGUUAGGGUUGCUUUGGUGAAAUUUAUGAUGGUGAAAUUUAUAUAUGAGUGUGUUAAUUUAUGUUGAUUUUGUAUAAUUUACUAAUAGAAGCUGGUUUUCACGGUGG